Non-coding RNA from Vicia faba (fava bean), 204 nucleotides. Lineage: Eukaryota; Viridiplantae; Streptophyta; Magnoliopsida; Fabales; Fabaceae. The record is from the annotation of a GenBank genome assembly.
AUGGAUCCACUUACUCCUCUCUACACGUCAGUGUCAAGAACAAGGCGAAAGAAUGAAGGAAUCUCGUACCUUCGAUAUGAAUUGGCUGAAGCAAAGAAGAUGAUUGCAGAUAUGUUGAAUCUUGUUUCGAUCUUCUUAUUUCCUCUCUCUUCUUUUCAUGUGUAUGCUUCUGAAUGUUCUGUGUUGCUCGCUACGUUGUGGUGA